AACGAACGCUGGCGGCGUGGAUAAGACAUGCAAGUCGAACGGGAUUACUGGUGUAGCAAUACAUUAGUAAUCUAGUGGCGUAAGGGUGCGUAACACGUGGGGAAUCUGCCGAGAAGUGGGGGAGUAGCUCGCCGAAAGGACGGAAUUAAUACCGCAUGUGAUCAGUGAAGACAUCUUCACGACAUCAAAGCCGGGGCGAACCU
This 203-nucleotide ribosomal RNA is filed under the name uncultured bacterium. Its description in RNAcentral is "partial 16S ribosomal RNA". It matches the Rfam family "Bacterial small subunit ribosomal RNA", at positions 29 to 219 of the family's 1533-position model. The record is from RNAcentral.